Non-coding RNA from Mycena capillaripes, 91 nucleotides. Lineage: Eukaryota; Fungi; Basidiomycota; Agaricomycetes; Agaricales; Mycenaceae. The record is from the annotation of a GenBank genome assembly.
GCCGUCGUGGGCCAUGGUGGCUGCUCCCGCAAUAUUGUCUGUUUGAUCUAAUCGACUGGGGUAGGCGGAGGUUCGAUUCCUCCCGACGGCA